RNAcentral lists this ribosomal RNA (541 nucleotides) under Lysmata nayaritensis. RNAcentral describes it as "partial 16S ribosomal RNA". It matches the Rfam family "Bacterial large subunit ribosomal RNA", at positions 1821 to 2625 of the family's 2925-position model. The record is from RNAcentral. Lineage: Eukaryota; Metazoa; Arthropoda; Malacostraca; Decapoda; Hippolytidae.
GUCUGCUUGAUCAAGUAUAGGCAGUCUCGCCUGCCCACUGGGUUUCUAAAGGGCCGCGGUAUCUUGACCGUGCUAAGGUAGCAUAGUCAUUAGUUCUUUAAUUGAGGACUGGAAUGAAAGGUUGGAUGAGAAGUUAGCUGUCUUUAAGACAAAUCUUGAAUUUUACUUCUGAGUGAAAAGGCUUAGAUAAGAUAAGGGGACGACAAGACCCUAUAAAACUUUACAGCUUAUCUUAGUAUCUGCCCAAUUAAAGGUGUAAAUGUAGUAUUAAGACAGCUGUUUUGCUGGGGCGGCAGGAAUAUAAAGAAUUAACUGUUUCUUUUUUAAAAAUAGGUUUAAUUAGUAAAUGUGAUCCUUUAAUGAGGAUUAAGAGAUUAAGUUACUUUAGGGAUAACAGCGUAAUCUCUCUUGAGAGCCCUGAUCGACAGAGUUAGUUGCGACCUCGAUGUUGAAUUAAGAUGUUACCUAGGUGCAGGAGUCUAGGCGGUGGGUCUGUUCGACCUUUAAAAUCUUACAUGAUUUGAGUUCAAACCGGUGUGAG